RNAcentral lists this long non-coding RNA (932 nucleotides) under Equus asinus (donkey). Its description in RNAcentral is "lncRNA (ENSEASG00005036820.1)". Lineage: Eukaryota; Metazoa; Chordata; Mammalia; Perissodactyla; Equidae. The record is from RNAcentral.
CGGCGCAUGUACCCCAAGCUCUCAACCCCGACUGCCCAGAAUCAAGCCCGGCUUUGAUCCAGAUUCUCCAAUCCAUUUGUUCGUUGGUGUUCUCCGGCUGGUUCUCACAACCUCUCUGUGCCACAUUUCCCUCAUCCGUGAGAAGAGGAGGCUUGCGAGGAGAAAAUGAGAGAAUUCACGGAAAGCCCAGUGCUGACCAGACGGGAGCUGCUGUCCUUAUGAGCCCAUUCAGGGUCCAGAAGGUUGGAGUGGAAGGGGUCAGAGAGAGGCGAGGCAGCCAGAGGAAAUAGAAAUGAUGUUGACAGAAGCUGUCGCUGGAAGAGAAGCUGCCCACAAAACCCACAUCAGGUGGUUCUACACCCUUGCCACAGGGGUCUCCUCUCGACUUGUCGUGAUGGAUCUUUUUCCUGGAAGUUUUUGCUCAGUCCCCUUCGCUCCCACCAGACCAUGAGCUCCGGGGUCGGCCCCGUGGUCCCAGCACCCAGCCUGGCGCAUAGGAGGGACGUAGUAACUGGGUGAACGGAUGGAUGGAUGGACGGAUGGAUGGACGGACAGACCUCCCUACCUUUCUUCUUCUUGUCGCCAGGAGAGAAAGGAAGGAAAUUUCAAACAACUCUGAGCCGUAGCUCAGCCUGGAGCCGCGGUGACCCCAGCCUCCCUGGCGGGGAGCAUCGACCCAUGGCGGGCGGGCGGGUGCGGCUGCUUUGUGGAGGCGGAGGGCACUGGGGGACCUGCGCCAAGCUGCUCCGCGGCGUCCAGACCCCCCUCCACCUCCACCCCGCUCCCGGCAGCUCUGCAGAGCCCGGGUGUCAGCAGCCAGUGGGGGGCUGCGCAGGGAAGGGGUUGGGGGUGGGGGGAGCUGUGCAGCCUCUGCAGCAGCCGGCACGGAGAGGCCCUCUUGACGCACAAAAGCAGGAAAGGCACAUUAAGCC